This 464-nucleotide ribosomal RNA is filed under the name uncultured bacterium. RNAcentral describes it as "partial 16S ribosomal RNA". It matches the Rfam family "Bacterial small subunit ribosomal RNA", at positions 339 to 795 of the family's 1533-position model. The record is from RNAcentral.
CUACGGGCGGCACCAGUGGGGAAUAUUGCACAAUGGGCGCAAGCCUGAUGCAGCCAUGCCGCGUGUAUGAAGAAGGCCUUCGGGUUGUAAAGUACUUUCAGCGGGGAGGAAGGGAGUAAAGUUAAUACCUUUGCUCAUUGACGUUACCCGCAGAAGAAGCACCGGCUAACUCCGUGCCAGCAGCCGCGGUAAUACGGAGGGUGCAAGCGGUAAUCGGAGUUACUGGGCGUAAAGCGCACGCAGGCGGUUUGUUAAGUCAGAUGUGAAAUCCCCGGGCUCAACCUGGGAACUGCAUCUGAUACUGGCAAGCUUGAGUCUCGUAGAGGGGGGUAGAAUUCCAGGUGUAGCGGUGAAAUGCGUAGAGAUCUGGAGGAAUACCGGUGGCGAAGGCGGCCCCCUGGACGAAGACUGACGCUCAGGUGCGAAAGCGUGGGGAGCAAACAGGAUUAGAUACCCGAGUAGUC